RNAcentral lists this ribosomal RNA (477 nucleotides) under uncultured anaerobic ammonium-oxidizing bacterium. RNAcentral describes it as "bacterial SSU rRNA". It matches the Rfam family "Bacterial small subunit ribosomal RNA", at positions 365 to 832 of the family's 1533-position model. The record is from RNAcentral.
UUCGCAAUGCCCGAAAGGGUGACGAAGCGACGCCGCGUGUGGGAAGAAGGCCUUCGGGUUGUAAACCACUGUCGGGAGUUAAGAAGUGCAAGGGUGCUAAUAGUAUCCUUGCUUGACUAAGGCUCCGGAGGAAGCCACGGCUAACUCUGUGCCAGCAGCCGCGGUAAUACAGAGGCGGCAAGCGUUGUUCGGAAUUAUUGGGCGUAAAGAGCACGUAGGCGGCUAUGUAAGUCGGUUGUGAAAGCCUUCCGCUCAACGGAAGAACAGCAUCCGAUACUGCAUGGCUUGAGUGCGGGGGGGGAGAGUGGAACUUCUGGUGGAGCGGUGAAAUGCGUAGAUAUCAGAAGGAACGCCGGCGGCGAAAGCGGCUCUCUGGCCCAUAACUGACGCUGAGUGUGCGAAAGCUAGGGGAGCAAACGGGAUUAGAUACCCCGGUAGUCCUAGCCGUAAACGAUGGGCACUAAGUAGAGGGGUUUU